This 842-nucleotide ribosomal RNA is filed under the name Halobacillus sp. AB5. RNAcentral's name for it is "bacterial SSU rRNA". It matches the Rfam family "Bacterial small subunit ribosomal RNA", at positions 47 to 858 of the family's 1533-position model. The record is from RNAcentral. Lineage: Bacteria; Bacillati; Bacillota; Bacilli; Caryophanales; Bacillaceae.
CCUAUCAUGCAAGUCGAGCGCGGGAAGCGAGUGGAUCCCUUCGGGGUGAAGCUCGUGGAACGAGCGGCGGACGGGUGAGUAACACGUGGGCAACCUGCCUGUAAGACCGGAAUAACCCCGGGAAACCGGGGCUAAUGCCGGGUAAUACUUUUCUUCGCAUGAAGGAAAGUUGAAAGAUGGCUUCUUGCUAUCACUUACAGAUGGGCCCGCGGCGCAUUAGCUAGUUGGUGAGGUAACGGCUCACCAAGGCGACGAUGCGUAGCCGACCUGAGAGGGUGAUCGGCCACACUGGGACUGAGACACGGCCCAGACUCCUACGGGAGGCAGCAGUAGGGAAUCUUCCGCAAUGGACGAAAGUCUGACGGAGCAACGCCGCGUGAACGAUGAAGGUCUUCGGAUCGUAAAGUUCUGUUGUUAGGGAAGAACAAGUACCGUGCGAAUAGAGCGGUACCUUGACGGUACCUAACGAGGAAGCCCCGGCUAACUACGUGCCAGCAGCCGCGGUAAUACGUAGGGGGCAAGCGUUGUCCGGAAUUAUUGGGCGUAAAGCGCGCGCAGGCGGUUCCUUAAGUCUGAUGUGAAAGCCCACGGCUCAACCGUGGAGGGUCAUUGGAAACUGGGGAACUUGAGGACAGAAGAGGAGAGUGGAAUUCCACGUGUAGCGGUGAAAUGCGUAGAUAUGUGGAGGAACACCAGUGGCGAAGGCGACUCUCUGGUCUGUUUCUGACGCUGAGGUGCGAAAGCGUGGGUAGCAAACAGGAUUAGAUACCCUGGUAGUCCACGCCGUAAACGAUGAGUGCUAGGUGUUAGGGGGCUUCCACCCCUUAGUGCUGAGUUAACGC